Molecule: long non-coding RNA, 1809 nt
Filed under: Lathyrus oleraceus (garden pea)
Lineage: Eukaryota; Viridiplantae; Streptophyta; Magnoliopsida; Fabales; Fabaceae
Description: Pisum sativum (pea) long non-coding RNA (PSAT_LNC030271)
Source: RNAcentral
GAUUCAUAUCCAUCAAUUCAUUAUAAGUAUCAAGAUUCAAUUUCAUACAAACAUCAAAGUCAAAUCAUGUUCAUCAUACAAGUAUCAAAUUUAUUCAUAAACAAGUGUCAAUUUCAUUCAUAUGCAUCAAAUUUCAUUAUUACAAAUAAGAUAUCCAUUACAUGAGAAAAUUUCAAAUUUUGAACUUUGACCAAAUGUUGACUUUGGUCAAUAGUUGACUUUUUGGUCAACUUUGACCUAAGUCAACUCCAUCCCAAUUCCAUCCCUAAUCUUCCAGGGCCCAUGUUGAUUCUUGAUUAACUAAUUACACAUGUUGUUUCUAGUUUCAAUCUUGUUGCAUUGUUCAACCGCCAUUCUUCAUGUGCAUAACCAUCCCAAAAGAACCUAGCAAAACAAAAGCCAAUGGACCAAGUCAGAAUUAAUACAUGGUCAAGAUGCAAACCAAAUGGAGCCUAGUUGCAAUGCUAUUACAAAGUCAGAGUUCCAACAUAAGCCAUGCAAAUUGAACCUAUGGAAUCAUGAACUUUUGCCAUUAACCUGACUAAGACAUGCAUAACUUACCAAAUGCAUUCAAACAGUCCAAGUGGAAUAUAUAGGCACACCUACAAUGCAUAUAUGGCCAUGCUAUUCAAGCCAAGGUCAUAAUGAGCAAGACCACCAUAAAAAUCCUGCAACAACCAAUCAAACAGUAUGAUCAUAUCAACAUUAGUGCAGGCAGUCACAACAAAACCCGAUAACAAUGCAUCAAUCCUUGCAAGCAGACCUGUAAUGCAGCUAACAUCAGCCACCAAAAGCAACUCCUUAAAUUGCAGCUAAACUUGCAGACACAUACACAACAUUCAGCAGAUAUUUUCUAACCAUAAAGCUAACUGCACAAUUGAACACUUUACUGCAUCGAAUAGAUUAGCAGAACUGAGCAUCAUCUGCUUUUCUCUCCAAUUUCAAUCAUAGAACUUGGCACUAAUUGGUAUUCAAGCUAAAAUACAAUAAUUCACAGUUGUCAAUGAAUUCACAACUAAUUACCUUAACUGUUUCCUAAUUGAUUCACAAGUUGUAACAGAAUUGAACAAAGUAUGAUAACAGAAAGAGAAAGGCAUAACAUAAUCGGUAUAGAGUAUAAAAGGACCCCUGCAUCAUUGGCUUGAGUCAAUUUUUGACUUCUUCUCAGAUCCUAGCUUACACUCUCUCAGAUCAAAUCCCUUUCAACUUGCAUCUUCUUCCUCAAGCUCACACGCAUUCAACUUCAUUCAUCUCAUUCUCAAGAUCAUCGAGUAAACCAUAUAAAACAGAGAGAAGGGAGUGGAGGAAGGAAGAUACAUAGCAAGCACUAAGAAUCACAUACAUGAAGAGCGCUAAACUCAUAGUAUUGUUCAUCGACAUCGGCUUCGGAAGAUCACCGCGUUAGAGAUCCAACUCAGUAAGUUCUCUGUCGCCAUCCUUUCCAUUCAUCCGUGUAGAACGACUUGUGAUGUCUCUGCCUCUUCCUCGAGUCACCAUGGCAAUGCAAAUCAACGUCACGUUUUCAAAAUUUCCGAAGAGGAUUCGGAAGACUGAGAUGAACAAGGUUGCAGAGAUAAUGAUGGGAGCUUCAAGCCUUGAAUGGAUGCGUAACUUUGUCUUGUUGUAGGGAUUUGGUGAGUGUGUUUAAGAACACGAUAUUCAUGAUCUUCGCUGGAGAUUUGAAAUGCAAUAGAGGCGCAUCUGCAGAGAUGGAGUCUUGCUUUGAUUUAUGGCGUCGGACCCUGUUUCAGGCCAUCGAAGCCUAUGCCUAAUUGAAUUGCUAUUCGCCACCCUCACCAAGAUUCAUAC